AAUUCUUGUAAACAACUUGUGCAAUUGCUUUUAAAGUAUUACAGAGCUAUGCCAAUAUUAAAUUGCUAUUUCCUUAUUAAAAUGUUGCUAAACCUAUAAAAACCAAUAAUAAUAAUUGGAUUAUAUUGAUCCUAAUGUUGUAUAUUUGGUUCAGAUUUUUAUCUCUGAAAUCAGUUUAAAGAAAUGAUUAUUGUUCAUUCAAGUAAUCUGCCAGGAAAAGACACAACACUAAUAUUUCAGCAUGCAUGAAUAUUGAGGUAGCUAUAUGGCAGUAUAUGAAUUUUAAGAUCCAUAUUAACAAUUAAAUGUUUACAAAAAUAUGACAAUAAUAACAUUACCUUUGACAGGAAAAGGUAUACAACUGAUUUGAAAAGGGUUACUUAUGACUGCAUAAUUAUGCAGAUAUUCAAAGAAAGCUGUAGAUUUGUGCUCAUAUCUAUUGUGAUGGUAAUUAUCACAAGAGACUAUUAGGCUAUGCAGCUCUAAUAGUGACUGAUAUAAAAAAAAUCAAAGAAUAUGUAGAAUUGCUAUAUUGCCUUUCUACUUCAGUGAGGAAAUAACAGGUCUUUGGUACUCCCUGAACCUGGUGGUUUUCUUGUAGAUGUUUCAUUAUUCAAAUUAGGUAACAUCAUCAAUGCUGCCAAUAGUAAUACUAGCACUGAUGAAAACAUCUUACCAAGUUUUGUCAAUA
Pseudonaja textilis is the source of this 691-nucleotide non-coding RNA. The record is from RefSeq and is a predicted model, not a curated record. Lineage: Eukaryota; Metazoa; Chordata; Lepidosauria; Squamata; Elapidae.